Felis catus (domestic cat) is the source of this 1955-nucleotide long non-coding RNA. RefSeq lists it as uncharacterized. The transcript is spliced from 2 exons. NCBI's taxonomy places the organism in Eukaryota, Metazoa, Chordata, Mammalia, Carnivora, Felidae. The record is from RefSeq and is a predicted model, not a curated record.
GAGCCCGACGCGGGGCUCGAACUCACGGACCGCGAGAUUGUGACCUGGCUGAAGCCGGAUGCUUAACAGACUGCGCCACCCAGGCGCCCCAUGCUUUGUAUUUCUACAGUAGCCCUGGGGAACAAAACUACUCAGAAUUUGAUCUCGUUGAGACUAGUCAAUGAAAACAUGACUGAGAAAGUCGCAAUGCAUUCAUUUCACCAGCGAUGUCCUGCUGGGUGUGUGUUUUGUUUUAACAAUGCACACAUUCUCCAGGGCUGUGAUUUUGUUCUGUUUGCCACUCUACGUCAUGGUUCACUGGGAAACGCAGGGGUGUGGUGACUUUAGCCUUCUUAAGCCAUCAAACCUAUCAGUAGUGUUUAACACGCCAACAUUAUGCCAGGAAGUCCUGGAGAUUGCUAGAAUGAAUCUAUCCUGCGCUCAACGUGGGAUUGUUGUUUUCAGCGAAAGAACCUCGCUUGUGAGGACGAGGGCAGAGUGACUGAAGUGAGUAAGCAGGUCAGCGUGCUGGUGGGGAGUGUCGGGGGAAGAGUCUGCAGAGUGGAUGUCCUUUUAUCUACCUCAGGGCGUCUGCCUAGAUUUCUCCUCCUUCCCCUCCCUCCCCGGAGGGAGGCAGUGAGGCAGCAGGGGUGCUCACUUUCCACUUCAAGCACCUAUCACGUUAUAUUUUCAACCAAAUAGCUUCCUACAUAAGAGGUAUUCUGGGACAAAUGUAGAGUUCAUUCACUCCUUCCAUAAAUAUGUACUUAGCAUCAGCUGCAAGCAUGCACUCGGCUAGGUGCUGGGGAUAGAACAUUUGGAGGAGGUGGGGGACAAAAUCGUAUGUUCUAGUAGAUCUGAAUAUGACUCAUCCUCAUUACACACAGAGGAGGAAAUUGAGGCUUAAGAGGUUAAUGGGUUUGGCCAAAGAGCAGAGCUAAGAUUUUAACUAAAGUCAGCCAGCUCCCCAAACCCAUCCCCUUGACCAAUUCUAUACUACCUGCCAUGGACAUUUUUUUGUUUUGUGUUGCCGCCCAACAUUCUCUUGCAUUAUUCUGGUACUUGAACCCUGUGGUAGCUUUAGGAAAAUGACUUUUUCUUUUCUAGAUUUUUAGAAAAUGUAUUUAUUUAAGCAAUCUCUACACCUGAUGUGACUGGAACUCAUGACCUCAAGGUCAAGAGCUGCACACUCCACCGAAUGAGCCAGGCAGGAGCCCCAGGAAAACCACCUUUUCCAGCACCAUCUAGAAAGAUGGUCAGGCUCCUCAGGCGAUUCGGACGCAGCCCCGCCGAGCUUUGGGAUCCUGCAGAUUAAAUAAAUUCUGGGACGGACCUCAGGAAGUCCACUUUGUCUCAUCUUCCUCCAGUUCCAGGGAGCCAGACGGGAUGGAGAGGUCAGCCUUUGUGUGGAUGGCUUUCCACCUGUCCACCGCAGCACAUGGUGCCCGCGAAGGGCUGCAUUUGGAGUUAAUGAGAAGAAUUGCCCCCAUUUGCUUCCCAAAGGAAUCAGAAUGGAAAUACAGAAAGGAGCCCAGGAUGUCAGAUUCCUGCCUCCAAGUAUGAUCAUUCAGUUGAAGCUUCUCAGCGGAUCUGUUUUGGGACUUGGCAUAUGGGUCACCUGCACCCGAGAUAGAAUCCCCCUCAAAUCACAAAGAUUUCGGGUCACAAGCUUUUGGGUAAGUGCAGCUGGGAGGGUGAAGCUCUCUCAGUCCAGUUGAACUCCAGGCUUCCCCCCUCACAGACAUGGGGUCCUUGAACAGUAAGUCAUUCUGGGAUGACCAAGAGAUUUCUUUCUCUCUCACCACCUGUGACCAUGCACCAGGCUUUAAUUAUCUGAGUCUCAGUUUCCUUAACUGACUGGUGAAAAUAAUUACCCACCUCAAUUCUUGUUAUUACUAUAGAAGAUGAACGCAGGGUAAAAAAUACAAUGAUAAUAACAAAUGUGUAGUAAGAAAUAAAAUAAUAAUAAGUGUGUA